RNAcentral lists this ribosomal RNA (343 nucleotides) under uncultured Pseudomonadota bacterium. RNAcentral describes it as "bacterial SSU rRNA". It matches the Rfam family "Bacterial small subunit ribosomal RNA", at positions 29 to 351 of the family's 1533-position model. Lineage: Bacteria; Pseudomonadati; Pseudomonadota. The record is from RNAcentral.
AAUGAACGCUGGCGGCGUGCCUAACACAUGCAAGUCGAACGAGAAAUUCCUGCUUCGGCGGGGAAAGUAAAGUGGCGCACGGGUGAGUAACGCGUGGGUAAUCUGCCCCUAAAUUUGGAAUAACUUCGCGAAAGCGUUGCUAAUACCGAAUGAUGUCCCAUUUACCAUGGUAAGUGGGAUGAAAGGUGACCUCUUCAUGAAAGUUGCCGUUUAGGGAUGAGCCCGCGUACCAUUAGCUAGUUGGUGGGGUAAUGGCCUACCAAGGCGACGAUGGUUAGCUGGUCUGAGAGGAUGAUCAGCCACACUGGAACUGAAACACGGUCCAGACUCCUACGGGUGGCUG